Molecule: ribosomal RNA, 255 nt
Filed under: uncultured bacterium
Lineage: Bacteria
Description: partial 16S ribosomal RNA
Rfam family: Bacterial small subunit ribosomal RNA
Source: RNAcentral
CGGACGGGUGAGUAACGCGUAGGCAACCUGCCCUUUGCACAGGGAUAGCCAUUGGAAACGAUGAUUAAAACCUGAUAACACCAUUUUAUCACAUGGAAAGAUGGUCAAAGAUUUAUCGGCAAAGGAUGGGCCUGCGUCUGAUUAGCUAGUUGGUGAGGUAACGGCUCACCAAGGCGACGAUCAGUAGCCGACCUGAGAGGGUGAUCGGCCACAUUGGAACUGAGACACGGUCCAAACUCCUACGGAAGGCAGCAG